ACCAAAGAAUCCCAAAGGACCUGGGAACAGAAAGAAAUUGAAGACAGAGAUGAACACAGAUCAAGAGCCCAGGUUUCUUGAUAUCUAAUACUAAUAUACUGAUGGAGUUAAACAUUCCAAGGAAUAUAGCAUGUCUUGGUCUCUGAGAGCCAAUAUAUCUGGGUUACACUGAAAGAGGAAUAACGAGAUAAUAUUUACACUGUACAUUGAAGAUGACCUGAAAAGCUGGAAGAGGUGACUGAGGGCAUUUUCUCAGUGUGGAUGAAGAAGAGGGGAGGAAGGUCAGACAGACAUCAGCUGGAUGAAGCCCCAGGUUCAAACAAACUUGCCUUGGAUAUCAAAGUACUAGUAGCAAAGGAACUCCCAAUUCCUCACCUGCUGUGAAGUUUCCCAUUCACUGCAAGCAAAGUCCAG
RNAcentral lists this long non-coding RNA (414 nucleotides) under Homo sapiens (human). RNAcentral describes it as "HSALNT0213247". The record is from RNAcentral. Lineage: Eukaryota; Metazoa; Chordata; Mammalia; Primates; Hominidae.